This 82-nucleotide ribosomal RNA is filed under the name Bison bison bison. Lineage: Eukaryota; Metazoa; Chordata; Mammalia; Artiodactyla; Bovidae. The record is from RNAcentral.
CUAAGGCGAAUAGCGCCCUGAACGCGCCCUAUCUCAUCUGAUCUCGGAAGCUAAGCAGGGUCGGGCCUGGUUAGUACUUGGG